RNAcentral lists this ribosomal RNA (477 nucleotides) under uncultured bacterium. RNAcentral's name for it is "bacterial SSU rRNA". It matches the Rfam family "Bacterial small subunit ribosomal RNA", at positions 30 to 507 of the family's 1533-position model. The record is from RNAcentral.
UGAACGCUAGCGGCAGGCUUAACACAUGCAAGGUCGAGGGGUAUGCCGAUUUAUCGGCAGAGACCGGCGCACGGGUGCGUAACGCGUAUGCAAUCUACCUUUCACAGAGGGAUAGCCCAGAGAAAUUUGGAUUAAUACCUCAUAGUAUAGCAGUUUCGCAUGAAACCACUAUUAAAGUUCCAACGGUGAAAGAUGAGCAUGCGUCCCAUUAGCUAGAUGGUAAGGUAACGGCUUACCAUGGCUACGAUGGGUAGGGGUCCUGAGAGGGAGAUCCCCCACACUGGUACUGAGACACGGACCAGACUCCUACGGGAGGCAGCAGUGAGGAAUAUUGGACAAUGGGCGCAAGCCUGAUCCAGCCAUGCCGCGUGCAGGAAGACGGUCCUAUGGAUUGUAAACUGCUUUUGUACAGGAAGAAACACUACUUCGUGAAGUAGCUUGACGGUACUGUAAGAAUAAGGAUCGGCUAACUCCGUG